Molecule: RNA transcript, 1931 nt
Organism: Sinocyclocheilus anshuiensis
Lineage: Eukaryota; Metazoa; Chordata; Actinopteri; Cypriniformes; Cyprinidae
Gene name: kelch-like protein 28
Exons: 3
Source: RefSeq, a predicted model, not a curated record
UGUUUGUUAAUCAAGUGUUACUAACUAUCACUGAGUCCGGACAGGAAGUUGAUUGAUCGAUGUGUGUUUCAGUGUGGAGAGAUACGACCCGAGCAAAGACUCAUGGGAUAUGGUGGCGCCGAUGGCUGAUAAGCGCAUUAACUUCGGCGUGGGCGUGAUGCUGGGCUUCAUCUUCGUGGUGGGAGGACACAACGGUGUGUCUCAUCUGUCCAGCAUCGAGCGCUACGACCCGCAGCAGAACCAGUGGACGGCGUGUCGACCCAUGAACGAGCCGCGCACCGGCGUGGGCUCUGCUGUGGUGGAUAACUAUCUCUAUGUGGUCGGGGGUCACUCGGGCUCGUCGUAUCUGAGCGCGGUGCAGCGGUACGAGCCCAUCACGGACAGCUGGCACGACUCCAGUGGGAUGAUGUACUGCCGCUGUAACUUCGGCCUGACCGCGCUUUGACCCUGGCCACACGGCUGACCGUCAGACGCGAGGGGAACUGGCUUUGUUUCUGGAGUGUGUUUCCCGCUCAUCCGGUGGCGUUUGCUCCAGGCGGCGCUGGGACGCGGAGCGUUUACGGCACUGAAGCACAGGUCUGAUGAACACCAGAGCCUUCCACAGACCCUCGGAGGAUGCGGAGCGCCCCGCUCUUCCCCUUUACAUUUCAAGGCUUCUGAUGAGGGACGCACAUGCGGCGAGUAUGUGUGUGUGAGCGUGUGAUGCAUGAGUUGAAUCAGCGCUUCACUCUGGAGGAGAAGCCUGGGACUCGUGAUAAGGGCUGCCUUCUGUCCUCUAUAUACAGAUGAAGCAUCACAGUAACGUGGCUGGUUUGAGUGGAGUGUGGCGUGAGUGACGUCAGACAGCGGUCACAUGGUGCCAAACCUUCACGCACUCGUCUUCACACAGAUGCAGCGUCUCUCGAGAUUCUGGCGCUGUGCACUUACCAAACCGUUUUCUACUGUGUAAAUAUGACCUUUGAGUUCCGUUGAGGCAAUAAGACUUUUUCUUCAACUCAUCAUCAAUUGCCAAGGUGUUUUGGGAAUCCUGUGACUGACCUGAACGGCUGCUUUGUUUCAUUAUGUUGCUCGUUAUUCUGGAUUUCAGCACUUUUGGUGUUGAUUUUGGAUCUGAACUGCUUUUAGAAGCGUGUUUUGGAUUGAUUGGACAUGAAAAGCGUGAUGUCUCUCAGUCCAGAACAUGAUUUUUAGUGUUUCAGUGCAGAUCCAGAGGCACAAAGGGAACCAACGCUCAUCAGAAGCAUCCGUGUUUGAUUAGCAAUAAGAUAUAUUUCCUUGCAUCCAUGAAUGUCCAUCACCGUCAUUCACUGAAUCUGCAGCAGAUGAUCGUGUGUGGUUUUUCUCUCCUGAAGCGUGUUGAUGUUGAUCCGAGAGUUUCUGAUCCAUCGGUCUGUUUAACGGCGGUCAGAUGAUGGUGAGAAGCUGAAAUCACGCUGGCGUGACCGUGAACGCUGCUUCUGGUUUAUUCCUGUGGGAUCCUUGAGGCCAUACGUGUAAAAUGUCAAACGAAGGCAUUGGGUGAUGUUUGUGUUUGUGUCUGAAUCGCCGCUCUCACCGAAGUGCUCGUCUCACGAGGGAAUCGGAAUCAGUCCAGAACGACUCCCUCACUGUCUUAAACUUUUGAUCAUUUUUCCUGAUGAUGAUGAUGAUGAUGCCACAUUUUCUUUUUCCGUCCGUCUGGCUUGUGUUUGAAAUGGAGUGCAUUUUUAUAAACCUGUGGAUUGUUACUGGAACUAAACCGAUAACCUUAGCUACAAACGCAGUAUUUAUUUUUCACAUUUUAACAAAGCAUUGAGAGCAUAGCGUACUUCUGCCAGUUUAUUUGUGUGUGUCGCAGCUCGAUCAGUCAAGAAAUAAAGGCCUGGAAAUGAUUCUGCAGGAGUCCGGCGUGUUUCUGCUUCAUGCUCAAAGGUAUAGUUCAUCUGAAAAUG